UACGGCGAGCGAAAAGGGAACAGCCCAGCGCCGAAUCCCCGACCUCCGGUCGCGGGAAAUGUGGCGUUUAGGAGUGAGCGUGCCGGGAAGGAGAAGGUGGCAAGUCCCCCUGACCGGGGCCUGUCCGUAGCGGGUGCGAGACCCAUAGCCGCCUCUUCCCGACCGGAUGCGAUCUCCUGGGAGUCGGGUUGCUUGGGAGUGCAGCCCCAAUCGGGUGGUAAACUCCACCUAAGGCUAAAUACCGCCGUGAGACCGAUAGCAAACAAGUACCGUGAGGGAAAGUUGCAAAGAACUUUGAAGAGAGAGUUCAAGAGUACGUGAAACUGCUCAGAGGUAAACGGGUGGGCCCUCGAAAUCCUGUGGCGAGAGGAUUCAGUGCGGGCCGCGGUGCAUUCGUCCGGAAGGAGCGUCCCCGCGAAGGGGGCCGUCCGGACGACGGCCUCACCGCGCGUCUCGUACGCAUUUGUCUCUCGUCCGAAGGACGCUGCGGCCUGUUCGGCAGUGCAAACGUGACGGCUUGAAGGGCCGGAGCUGGCAGGUGGCCGGUGGCUCGCCUCGUGCGAUUCGCCGGUUGUUAGCCGUCCGGUCAGUGGCCCGUCGCCGGACAGUGGUCGUCGGUUCCCGUCAGGGAACCCCUCGUCUCCUCACUUCGACGCAGGACAGGACGCGGCAUGGAUUCCCCGGACUCUCCGUCGCACGCCCUCGGCGUGGGCGGGAAGUCCGGGAGCCCUGUUGGUCGCGACGGACCUGCCGGAGACUCGAGGCCGGCAGCGAGUAGGUCGGUCACCCACCCGACCCGUCUUGAAACACGGACCAAGGAGUCUAACAUGUGCGCGAGUCAGUGGGUCUUGAACAGGCCCAAAGGCGCAAUGAAAGCGAAGGUUUGCUCUUGCAAUCCGAGUCGGGAUCCCUCCCGUUCGCGGGGGGGCGCACCGACGCCCCGUCCCAUCCAGUUCGCUGGUCGGGCGGAGGUCGAGCGUACACGUUGGGACCCGAAAGAUGGUGAACUAUUCCCGGGCAGGACGAGGUCAGAGGAAACUCUGGUGGAGGUCC
Molecule: ribosomal RNA, 1053 nt
Filed under: Myrmaplata plataleoides
Lineage: Eukaryota; Metazoa; Arthropoda; Arachnida; Araneae; Salticidae
Description: eukaryotic LSU rRNA
Rfam family: Eukaryotic large subunit ribosomal RNA
Source: RNAcentral